CUUGAACCGAAGCACAAGCAGUCACCAAGAAACGUGGAAUGAAGAGAGACGAGAGGAUGUUUCGGUUGAGUAAGAACAAGGCUUCUUCGAAAUCUGCAGCUGAUACAAGAUUUGAGUUCUGGUUCUCUCAUUUUAAGGCUCUUCAGGUACCCAAGGGAUGGGAAGCUGCUUGUUUCUGUUGUUUCGGUAGAAAGUGGUAAAGCUAUUGCAAAGUCAAGCAAGGUGCUGGUGCAAAAUGGGAGUUGUCAGUGGUCAGAUUCUUUUUCAGAAUUUGUAUUGUUUCCAGGAGAUAAUUCUUCCAAGGAGAUUGAUGAAUGUCUCCUCAAGCUUAUUGUUGCCAUGGUGCUGAUACUAUUGCUGUUUGCUGUUCCUAUUGUGUAUACUCUACUUUGUAGUUAAGAUGUUUCUUUAUCAGUUAGAAGUUUGUUUGAAUUAUGA
Arachis duranensis is the source of this 438-nucleotide long non-coding RNA. RefSeq lists it as uncharacterized. Lineage: Eukaryota; Viridiplantae; Streptophyta; Magnoliopsida; Fabales; Fabaceae. The transcript has 3 exons. The record is from RefSeq and is a predicted model, not a curated record.